Molecule: long non-coding RNA, 1040 nt
Organism: Xenopus tropicalis (tropical clawed frog)
Lineage: Eukaryota; Metazoa; Chordata; Amphibia; Anura; Pipidae
Exons: 5
Source: RefSeq, a predicted model, not a curated record
CCACACCCUGCCACACUUUAAUAUGGUGUUAGGAGAGGGGUGGUUCUUUCUUCUUGGCCUGCAGCAUCUGACGUAUGUGAAUGUCUCCCAGAAACUGGGAUCUGGGAUCCACAAGGCCCAAGGACCGAAGGGGACCAGUACCCUUAGUGAAGUCGGGGCGCAGGGACCCCGUGAACGAGGUAAAGUGAGAACAGGUUAAAUAAUAUCAGAGCAGGAAAGUGAGUCAGACAGUAUGUAUUUAGAAAGAGCAGCUUUCUUGCUCCAUCCAUGAGAGGAGAGUAAAGGAGUAGUCUUCUAACAGACUUACUUGCCUUUGUUUAGGGACACAGAAGUGCCAGGGAAUAGGCCCAACUUAUGGUGCCCAAACUCUAUAUGAGAGGGAUAAACCGAUGGACACCAUACUUCAACUGUUAGAUGUGCUUUAACAUCAAUUGUAUUGCUGAAAUCCUGUUAUACCUCCUCAAGGGGACACAGAAGUGCCAGGGAAUAGGCCCAACUUACGGUGCCCAAACUCUAUAUGAGAGGGAGAAACCGAUGGACACCAUACUUCAACUGUUAGAUCUGCUUUAACAUCAAUUGUAUUGCUGAAAUCCUGUUAUACCUCCUCAAGGGGACACAGAAGUGCCAGGGAAUAGGCCCAACUUAUGGUGCCCAAACUCUAUAUGAGAGGGAGAAACCGAUGGACACCAAACUUCAACUGUUAGAUCUGCUUUAACAUCAAUUGUAUUGCUGAAAUCCUGUUAUACCUCCUCAAGGGGACACAGAAGUGCCAGGGAAUAGGCCCAACUUACGGUGCCCAAACUCUAUAUGAGAGGGAGAAACCGAUGGACACCAUACUUCAACUGUUAGAUCUGCUUUAACAUCAAUUGUAUUGCUGAAAUCCUGUUAUACCUCCUCAAGGGGACACAGAAGUGCCAGGGAAUAGGCCCAACUUACGGUGCCCAAACUCUAUAUGAGAGGGAGAAACCGAUGGACACCAUACUUCAACUGUUAGAUCUGCUUUAACAUCAAUUGUAUUGCUGAAAUCCUGUUAUACCUCC